AACGAACGCUGGCGGCAUGCCUAACACAUGCAAGUCGAACGAGACCUUCGGGUCUAGUGGCGCACCGGUGCGUAACGCGUGGGAACCUGCCCUUAGGUUCGGAAUAACUCCCCUAAAGGGGUGCUAAUACCGGAUAAUGUCAUCGGACCAAAGAUUUAUCGCCUUGGGAUGGGCCCGCGUUGGAUUAGCUAGUUGGUAGGGUAAAAGCCUACCAAGGCGACGAUCCAUAGCUGGUCUGAGAGGAUGAUCAGGCACGGUGGGACUGAGACACGGCCCAGACUCCUACGGGAGGCAGCAGUGGGGAAUAUUGGACAAUGGGCGAAAGCCUGAUCCAGCAAUGCCGCGUGAGUGAUGCAGGCCUUAGGGUUGUAAAGCUCUUUUACCCGGGAUGAUAAUGACAGUACCGGGAGAAUAAGCUCCGGCUAACUACGUG
This 433-nucleotide ribosomal RNA is filed under the name uncultured bacterium. RNAcentral describes it as "partial 16S ribosomal RNA". It matches the Rfam family "Bacterial small subunit ribosomal RNA", at positions 29 to 507 of the family's 1533-position model. The record is from RNAcentral.